GCUUUUGUGGUCACUGAUGCCUUAUUCUGCUACUAACCCUAAAAAGCACUAAAUGCACCAAACAGAAUGUUAUAAAUAAUUGUUUCCAAACAGGUUUCCAUGACAGGAGACGGCGUUUAUGCAUCCAGAAAAGCCGCUCUUGAUCUGGGAUCAUCUAGAGACUGAUGGUGUCACUUCUUUUGACACCAGAAAUGGCGUCUGAAGCGCGCUAAGAAGUAAGGGUGGAUCAGACGAGGCGCUUGCGUUUAAUGACAGUGGUAUGAGAUCAUUAUUCUGAAAUCAAUCCUCUAAUUGCUGUCCUCAGGUGCUUCUGGCUCUCAGCGCGGCCGCUCCGGAUCCAGGUGUGAACGCUGUCUCUGGUUUGGCAGAUUCCCCCUCAGUCGCCCUGUUUGGAUCAGAACUCAGAGAGGAAAGAUGCAUCAAACGCACCGUGAAAUCCACAGGUACAAUGCACCGAGACAGACGUCUGGUCAUAUGCUGCUUUGUUUUCAGGUUUAUAAUGUGCAAAAACAAAAGUACAAACAAAAGCUGCCCUUACAAAACCU
This is a long non-coding RNA of Cyprinus carpio (common carp), 545 nucleotides long. NCBI's taxonomy places the organism in Eukaryota, Metazoa, Chordata, Actinopteri, Cypriniformes, Cyprinidae. The record is from Ensembl.